This is a long non-coding RNA of Pseudoliparis swirei, 682 nucleotides long. RefSeq lists it as uncharacterized. NCBI's taxonomy places the organism in Eukaryota, Metazoa, Chordata, Actinopteri, Perciformes, Liparidae. The record is from RefSeq and is a predicted model, not a curated record. The transcript is spliced from 2 exons.
UUGUUUUUUGUUGAUGGGGGAGUUGGCUUAGUUCGCCUCCCUUUGCCUUUCACUACUGUCAGACCUUUUAUGUUCUGCCUGUGGAUUCUGGGUCACUGUCAGAGAGACCGAGUGAGGGUGUGAGGGAAAUUUAAAUGUGCCUCUCCAAAGGCUGGGAGAGAAUAUUGAGUAGCCGGUUUUCUUUUUGGGGAAAAACCGAAUUUCUGCCCUAAUUACAGGAGUUUCAACCUAUCACUCCGGAAAACAUCUCUCCUUUACCGCCUGCCUGCGCUCUCGCUGUACUCUCCAGCCGAAGGCCUUCUCUUCGUUCGACACACACGAGGCGCCCGGGCGACGGCAGCCGCCGCUCCUCGAGAACAAAGGCGCUAUCUGCGCAGCAUCGGGCAGGCCGGCGGCGCGCCGUGACACUUUGGAACAGCCGAAGGAAAAGGAGGAGGGAGGCUCCCUCUUCACCGACGAGACCAAUUAGAGGGAGCAAAGUCUUCUAUCUGAGCCAAAUACUCCAGAUAGGGUGGGCAUGCAGCGGGGUGACGGACCCUCCAGGGGCGCUCAUGUCGAUUGGCUUAUCUGGGUGAGGGUGAGACACGUAGACGCGUCUCACUUCUUACUAUUACUCUGGUGUCUUAUUGGUGUUGUCGCAGCUCAUUAAUAACCAAUAAAUGACAAGCACAUGAAGCGAUAA